Molecule: ribosomal RNA, 485 nt
Filed under: uncultured bacterium
Lineage: Bacteria
Description: SSU rRNA
Rfam family: Bacterial small subunit ribosomal RNA
Source: RNAcentral
AGGAUGAACGCUGGCGGCGUGCCUAAUACAUGCAAGUCGAGCGGUAAGGCUCCUGCAGUUUGUUUAAUCGUAUAAGCUCAACCCGAAGGCUCGGGGAGAGUUGAUUGAAUAAAGUGCUGGAGUACACGAGCGGCGGACGGCUGAGUAACACGUAGGAACGUACCCCAAACUGAGGGAUAAGCACCAGAAAUGGUGUCUAAUACCGCAUGUGCUCUUCGGAGUAAAGCUACGGCGGUUUGGGAACGGCCUGCGUAAGAUUAGCUAGUUGGUGAGGUAAUAGCUCACCAAGGCGACGAUCUUUAGCUGGUCUGAGAGGAUGACCAGCCAGACUGGGACUGAGAACGGCCCAGACUCCUACGGGAGGCAGCAGUAGGGAAUCUUCCACAAUGGACGCAAGUCUGAUGGAGCAACGCCGCGUGCAGGAUGAAUGUCUUCGGAUUGUAAACUGUCUUUUCUAUGUGACGAAUAGUAGACGGUAGACAGUA